AUACUUACCUGGCGCAGAGGUUUUUCCGUGAUCAAUAAGGCGGAUCCUCCGAGGUGAGGUCUUGUCAUUGCACUUAGAUGAGAUUGACCCUCGCGAUUAUUCCUAAUGCGAAUAACUCGUGCGUGCAAUUUUUGGUAGCCGGGAAUGGCGUUCGCGCCGUCCCGAA
This is a small nuclear RNA of Condylostylus longicornis, 166 nucleotides long. RefSeq annotates it as U1 spliceosomal RNA. NCBI's taxonomy places the organism in Eukaryota, Metazoa, Arthropoda, Insecta, Diptera, Dolichopodidae. The record is from RefSeq and is a predicted model, not a curated record. The transcript has a single exon.